GAGGGUAUAGCUGAGGAGUGAGGCACAUGCUUAGCAUGCAUGAGGUCCUGGGUUCAGUCCCAGUAUCUCCA
RNAcentral lists this transfer RNA (71 nucleotides) under Camelus bactrianus (Bactrian camel). It matches the Rfam family "tRNA". From Rfam's summary of the family: Transfer RNA (tRNA) molecules are approximately 80 nucleotides in length. Lineage: Eukaryota; Metazoa; Chordata; Mammalia; Artiodactyla; Camelidae. The record is from Rfam by way of RNAcentral. RNAcentral also lists the same sequence under 3 other names.